GGCUAACGCUGGCGGCGUGUCUUAGCCAUGCAAGUCGAGCGGACUUAUGGGGUAACUUAUAAGUCAGCGGCGGACGGCGGAGUAACACGUAGCUAACCUACCCUCUGGACGGGGAUAACCUACCGAAAGGUGGGCUAAUACCCGAUGUAGUCAUCCUGUAUAGGGGUGAUGAAAGGUGGGCUUCUGUUUACAAGCUCAUGCUGGAGGAGGGGGCUGCGGCCUAUCAGGUAGUUGGUAGGGUAAUAGCCUACCAAGCCGAUGACGGGUAGCCGGCCUGAGAGGGUGACCGGCCCGAGGGGCACUGAGAUACGGGUCCCACUCCUACGGGAGGCAGCAGGCUAGAAAUUUGGGCAAUGGGGGAAACCCUGACCCAGUGACGCCGCGUGCAGGAAGGAGCCCUUCGGGGUGUAAACUGCUGUCGUGUAGGGAGAAGGGUACUAAGGUGAACAAUCUUAGUACUUGACGGUACUACAGGAGGAAGCCCACGGCGUAACCUCGUGCCAGCAGCCGCGGUAAGCUACGUAGA
RNAcentral lists this ribosomal RNA (526 nucleotides) under uncultured bacterium. RNAcentral describes it as "bacterial SSU rRNA". It matches the Rfam family "Bacterial small subunit ribosomal RNA", at positions 28 to 531 of the family's 1533-position model. The record is from RNAcentral.